UUAAAAGCCAACAAAGAACCUGAAGCAUCAGCAUCGAAAGGAAAGGAGAAAGUCAUCGAGGACUAAAACGGGAGAAUUACGAUUAGUAGAAGUCAAGUGUCCCGGCUCAGCAUCCAGAACAAUCCCGACUCCAACACAAACUUGGUGAUGUAUAUUUUUCUUUUGGGUAAAGGUGGCAUGUACAUAGGUGUUAUUUAGUCACUGGAAUAUGUAUAUUACUUUGGGUAGUGAAGGAUGAAUUAUAAAAUUUAGAUAGUUAAAUGAAAUGGUAAGGAAAGUACAUGAUAUUUCGAUACAAGAA
Molecule: long non-coding RNA, 301 nt
Organism: Gossypium arboreum
Lineage: Eukaryota; Viridiplantae; Streptophyta; Magnoliopsida; Malvales; Malvaceae
Exons: 2
Source: RefSeq, a predicted model, not a curated record